UACGUAGGGUGCAGGCGUUAAUCGGAAUUACUGGGCGUAAAGCGUGCGCAGGCGGUCUUUUAAGUCAGAUGUGAAAUCCCCGGGCUUAACCUGGGAACUGCGUUUGAAACUGGAAGGCUAGAGUGCGGCAGAGGAGACUGGAAUUCCUGGUGUAGCAGUGAAAUGCGUAGAUAUCAGGAGGAACACCGAUGGCGAAGGCAGGUCUCUGGGCUGACACUGACGCUCAUGCACGAAAGCGUGGGGAGCAAACAGG
RNAcentral lists this ribosomal RNA (253 nucleotides) under uncultured bacterium. RNAcentral describes it as "partial 16S ribosomal RNA". It matches the Rfam family "Bacterial small subunit ribosomal RNA", at positions 524 to 776 of the family's 1533-position model. The record is from RNAcentral.